UCAUGUGUGUGGUGAUAAUGUCUUCAGUUCUCCUAAAUAGGACUUUAAUUUACUUCCAUAAAUGGAACAACCUGCAAACUGCAGGUUCCUGGAAGCCAGAU
Austrofundulus limnaeus is the source of this 101-nucleotide long non-coding RNA. RefSeq lists it as uncharacterized. The transcript is spliced from 3 exons. The record is from RefSeq and is a predicted model, not a curated record. NCBI's taxonomy places the organism in Eukaryota, Metazoa, Chordata, Actinopteri, Cyprinodontiformes, Rivulidae.